AAAUGUAAAUAAAUACAUACAUGCAGUUAUAUUUAUAUCUGUAGCCCCAUCAACUAACCCUAGAAAAUCUCUUAAUCGCUCCGACGCCUUUGAUGUUCAGAUCUUCCAGUGGUCGUGUCGCAGGUGACUUUCGCCCUUGUAUGCAACGACCCUUUCUCAAAUGAAAAAAUUUCAGGAGGGCGAAAGUCAUUUGUGACCCGAUAAUGGAAGAUCUAGUUGUCAAAGGCUUCUAGGGGCGCUUUCAUGUCGAGUUCAUUCCUAUCUCUAAGCCGAGGAUUCUCCCAGGCUAGCUCCACGGGAUACCUGAUAAUAGCAAUCUUGGAUGUGAGAAGAAAUCACCUACCAUUUUUGCCUCUCCCGAGAUUUGAACCUGAGACCUCAUGAUGCUCAACCUACUUCAUUGGCCACUAGGCCACACCCUUGGGUGUGCCCUUUCAUUCCCUUUCUUGGGAGCCAGUCUAUCCUAUCCAGCUGCUGGCAGCAGCAUAUCUCAUGUUGGUUGAGUAUGAAGUUAAUUAUCCAUCAUUUGAUUCAUGUUUAGCUGUGGGUGAUAGUGGAAUUUUUUUAAAAACUUGGGAGGGCCAGCUUGACAAUUCUCUUCUUUGCUACUGUCAUUACAUCUCUCUGAUUCCAGGUUUUUACUUCCCCUGUGGUGUGUGAUGUAUCAUAUCGUACUUGGUUAUAAGGCCAGUAAAGCCUUGACUUAUAAUUCCUGUUCGCUAUAGUGAGUACUUUAUUGGUAAUGCUGCAGACUGAUUGAAAAUUAUUUAGUUUGGUGGGUUAGUUUGCUUUGUCGGUCAAGCUUCUUCCUGCAAGUUUGCUGGUUUUGUAGUGCUUAAAAGAAUAUCUAUACAUCUGUUCUUAUA
Long non-coding RNA from Lycium ferocissimum, 866 nucleotides. RefSeq lists it as uncharacterized. The record is from RefSeq and is a predicted model, not a curated record. NCBI's taxonomy places the organism in Eukaryota, Viridiplantae, Streptophyta, Magnoliopsida, Solanales, Solanaceae. The transcript is spliced from 2 exons.